This 1268-nucleotide long non-coding RNA is filed under the name Amborella trichopoda. RNAcentral describes it as "long non-coding RNA (ATRI_LNC001693)". Lineage: Eukaryota; Viridiplantae; Streptophyta; Magnoliopsida; Amborellales; Amborellaceae. The record is from RNAcentral.
UUUGCUCUCUCUAACUCACAAGCCCCCUUUUCAAACACUUAGAAUCUCUACCUCUUUGAGCCAUUUUUUGGGAGCUUGGAAACUUGGCCUGUGUGGAGAUUUUCGAACACUUUUGGGUGAAGUAGAUCUAACAUUCAUGUCCCCAUAGUUUUGAUUAUAAACAUGAUUUUUGGAAUAAGGAUGUGGCUGCAUGUUAUGAAAUUUAUUUAGAAUAUGCCUAUUUUUCCAGGAUUGUGAUCCUCAUUAGCAUGAUAAAUUGAGCAUUGAAAUUAUUUCUAUUGGCUAUGAAAAUUUGUGGGAAAGUACCCAUGUGAAGAUGGAAAGACCUUACGUCAAUGUCCAUCCCGAUUUGGAAGUUAUGGGUUAUUUUCCAAAGUAUGUCAAAACUGUAAACUGCAUUUUCAGGAACUUUACAUGUAUUAGUUUGAACUAUCUACUGACCAAAUGAUCUCAAACCAUUUUUAAAUGAAAUAUAGGUAUGCUUACUUCAAAUUUUGUUUUGGAACCAUGUUGAAAUUCUUAAUGGUUUGGGAAUUAUGCCCCUAUUUGUAUAAAUAUGUCACUAUUGUGAAUUGCAAUGAAUUUCUAAAACUAUUGUAUAUUUUAUACUGAACUGUUUACUGACCAAAUAGUGUCCAAAUAAUCUCAAACCACUUUUAAAUGAAAUAUGGGUAUGUUUACUUCAAAAAUGGUCUUGGAACCAUGUUGAAAUUCUUGAUGGUUUAGGAAUUUUGCCCCUAUUUGUAUGAAUAUGCCACUGUUGUGAGUUACAGCGAAUUUUCAUAAUUGUUAUAUGUUUUAUGAAAGGUUGUUCACUUACCAAUAUGUCUUUGAUUAAGGCUAAACCACUUCUAAAUAAAAGGUGGAUGAAUCUAUUUUCAAAUUGGUUUUGGGACCAUGACAAAACUCUCUAUGGAUUGGAAGUUAGGCUAAAUUUUCUAAGAGGUUAUCAUACUGAAAACUCUGUCCUGUUGUGAAUUAUUGAAUAUGCAUAGUUGAAAUGAGCCAUGUUUAUGAUAUAGUAAAUGCUCGUGAACUCUUGAAUAAUUGUGAUGAGUCAUGCUUGGGCAUGAAUGAAUGUUUGUGAGAUAUGUAUGUCAUAAGACAUGCCUAUGAUAAGAAUGUGUCAUGAAACACUAUGUAAUGGGACAUCUAUUGGUAAUAGGAGCUAAUGUGAUAAAAAUGUGAUGUGAAACACAAUGCAAUGGGACAUCUAUUGGUAGUGGGAUAUGAUAUGAUAAAAAUAUGAUGUGGAGCACUACGCUAUG